RNAcentral lists this ribosomal RNA (484 nucleotides) under uncultured bacterium. RNAcentral describes it as "partial 16S ribosomal RNA". It matches the Rfam family "Bacterial small subunit ribosomal RNA", at positions 29 to 507 of the family's 1533-position model. The record is from RNAcentral.
AGUGAACGCUGGCGGCAGGCCCAACACAUGCAAGUCGAGCGGCAGCGCGGGGGCAACCCUGGCGGCGAGCGGCGGACGGGUGAGGAAUUCGUCGGAAUCUGCCUUUUUGUGGGGGAUAACGUAGGGAAACUUACGCUAAUACCGCAUACGUCCUACGGGAGAAAGUGGGGGACCGCAAGGCCUCACGCAGAAAGAUGAGCCGACGACCGAUUAGCUAGUUGGUGGGGUAAAGGCCCACCAAGGCGACGAUCGGUAGCUGGUCUGAGAGGAUGAUCAGCCACACUGGGACUGAGACACGGCCCAGACUCCUACGGGAGGCAGCAGUGGGGAAUAUUGGACAAUGGGCGCAAGCCUGAUCCAGCCAUGCCGCGUGUGUGAAGAAGGCCUUCGGGUUGUAAAGCACUUUUGUCCGGAAAGAAAUCCCUGGAGCUAAUACCUUCGGGGGAUGACGGUACCGGAAGAAUAAGCACCGGCUAACUUCGUG